Molecule: ribosomal RNA, 491 nt
Filed under: uncultured bacterium
Lineage: Bacteria
Description: partial 16S ribosomal RNA
Rfam family: Bacterial small subunit ribosomal RNA
Source: RNAcentral
AGUGAACGCUGGCGGCGUGCCUAACACAUGCAAGUCGAACGGCAGCACAGUAAGAGUUUGCUCUUAAGGGUGGCGAGUGGCGGACGGGUGAGGAGUGUAUCGGACUCUUCUUUUUCGUGGGGGAUCACGUAGGGAAAGUUACGAUAUACCGCAAACGACUUACGGGUGAAGGCAGGGGAUCAUAGGCGGUGGCGCGGUUGAAUGUGGCGGUGUCGGAUUAGCUUGUUGGGGGGGUAAAGGCCUACGAAGGCGACGAUCCGUAGCUGAUCUGAGAGGAUGAUCAGCCACACUGGAACUGAGACACGGUCCAGACUCCUACGGGAGGCAGCAGUCGGGAAUAUUCGGCAAUGGGCGCAAGCCUGAUCCAGCCAUACCGCGUGAGUGAAGAAGGCCUUCGGGUUGUAAAGCCCUUUUGUUGGGAAAGAACAGCUGCAGAUUAAGACCCCGCUGUUCUGACGGUACCCAAAAAAGAAGCACCGGCUAACUACGUG